RNAcentral lists this ribosomal RNA (432 nucleotides) under uncultured Enterobacteriaceae bacterium. Its description in RNAcentral is "bacterial SSU rRNA". It matches the Rfam family "Bacterial small subunit ribosomal RNA", at positions 355 to 774 of the family's 1533-position model. Lineage: Bacteria; Pseudomonadati; Pseudomonadota; Gammaproteobacteria; Enterobacterales; Enterobacteriaceae. The record is from RNAcentral.
UGGGGAAUAUUGCACAAUGGGCGCAAGCCUGAUGCAGCCAUGCCGCGUGUAUGAAGAAGGCCUUCGGGUUGUAAAGUACUUUCAGCGGGGAGGAAGGCGAUAAGGUUAAUAACCUUGUCGAUUGACGUUACCCGCAGAAGAAGCACCGGCUAACUCCGUGCCAGCAGCCGCGGUAAUACGGAGGGCGACAAGCUAGUUGAAAUUCGGAAUUACUGGGCGUAAAGCGCACGCAGGCGGUUUGUUAAGUCAGAUGUGAAAUCCCCGGGCUCAACCUGGGAACUGCAUUUGAAACUGGCAAGCUUGAGUCUUGUAGAGGGGGUAGAAUUCCAGGUGUAGCGGUGAAAUGCGUAGAGAUCUGGAGGAAUACCGGUGGCGAAGGCGGCCCCCUGGACAAAGACUGACGCUCAGGUGCGAAAGCGUGGGGAGCAAACA